AUUGAACGCUGGCGGCAUGCCUUACACAUGCAAGUCGAACGGCAGCACGGGAGCUUGCUCCUGGUGGCGAGUGGCGAACGGGUGAGUAAUACAUCGGAACGUACCCUGAAGUGGGGGAUAACGUAGCGAAAGUUACGCUAAUACCGCAUAUUCUGUGAGCAGGAAAGAGGGGGAGUCGCAAGACCUCUUGCUUUAGGAGCGGCCGAUGUCGGAUUAGCUAGUUGGUGAGGUAAAGGCUCACCAAGGCGACGAUCCGUAGCGGGUCUGAGAGGAUGAUCCGCCACACUGGGACUGAGACACGGCCCAGACUCCUACGGGAGGCAGCAGUGGGGAAUUUUGGACAAUGGGCGCAAGCCUGAUCCAGCCAUGCCGCGUGAGUGAAGAAGGGCCUUCGGGUUGUUAAAGGCUCUUUCGGUUGGGGAAGAAAUUGCUUCGGUUAAUACCUGGAGUAGAUGACGGUACCCGCAUAAGAAGCACCGGCUAACUACGUGCCAGCAGCCGCGGUAA
This 507-nucleotide ribosomal RNA is filed under the name uncultured bacterium. RNAcentral describes it as "bacterial SSU rRNA". It matches the Rfam family "Bacterial small subunit ribosomal RNA", at positions 30 to 523 of the family's 1533-position model. The record is from RNAcentral.